This 33-nucleotide ribosomal RNA is filed under the name Acer campestre (hedge maple). RNAcentral describes it as "partial 25S ribosomal RNA". The record is from RNAcentral. Lineage: Eukaryota; Viridiplantae; Streptophyta; Magnoliopsida; Sapindales; Sapindaceae.
GCAUCGCGACCCCAGGUCAGGUGGGAUUACCCG